UACGUAGGGUGCGAGCGUUGUCCGGAAUUAUUGGGCGUAAAGGGCUCGUAGGCGGUUUGUCGCGUCGGGAGUGAAAACCUUGGGCUUAACUCAGGGCUUGCUUUCGAUACGGGCAGACUAGAGGUAUGCAGGGGAGAACGGAAUUCCUGGUGUAGCGGUGAAAUGCGCAGAUAUCAGGAGGAACACCGGUGGCGAAGGCGGUUCUCUGGGCAUGAUCUGACGCUGAGGUACGAAAGCGUGGGGAGCGAACAGG
This 253-nucleotide ribosomal RNA is filed under the name uncultured bacterium. Its description in RNAcentral is "partial 16S ribosomal RNA". It matches the Rfam family "Bacterial small subunit ribosomal RNA", at positions 524 to 776 of the family's 1533-position model. The record is from RNAcentral.